This 253-nucleotide ribosomal RNA is filed under the name uncultured bacterium. RNAcentral's name for it is "partial 16S ribosomal RNA". It matches the Rfam family "Bacterial small subunit ribosomal RNA", at positions 524 to 776 of the family's 1533-position model. The record is from RNAcentral.
UACGUAGGUGGCAAGCGUUGUCCGGAAUUAUUGGGCGUAAAGCGCGCGCAGGCGGUACUUUAAGUCUGAUGUGAAAUCCCUCGGCUCAACCAAGGAAGUGCAUCCGAAACUGCUGAGCUUGAGUACUUAAGAGGAUCGCGGAAUUCCCGGUGUAGAGGUGAAAUUCGUAGAUAUCGGGAGGAACACCAGUGGCGAAGGCGGCGAUCUGGGCAGAUACUGACGCUGAGGUGCGAAAGCGUGGGGAGCAAACAGG